CUAGGUUCCAUUUAUCUUUCGAUAAAAUCAAUGACCAGAUCUUCUUCUCCAUUUAUCAUGCUAGUUUAUCUCUUAAGUUGUUAUUUUCGAUGACUCGGUAAAACAGUUCAGUUGGAUGUUCUCCACUGCGCAGACCCAGCCUGAUACUGUAGUAUAUUAUCUUCAUUUAGAGACCAAUUCAGUAUCAGAAAAAUACAUACAUAAAUCGAUUCUAUCGUAAUGAAGAAAGUAAUUAGGUUUGUGGGUGUGGUUCUCAACAAGUUUAAGGAUGCAUUGAUGUUUCUUCUCACAACUACGUCUGUUAUUCUGGAUAUGCCAUUGGGAUUCGCCAUUAUGCUUUAUCUCAGAAUAGAUAAGAUGGAUACUGAUUUCAUAAAUCUUUCAAUCCUUUUUUCUUCGAUACUUCUUAUCAGAUUUUCGAGGUUAAGGUGCUCAGGAGUUAUGCCAAAGAAUGGAAACUUUCAAGACCGUUGGGGCCCUUUUUUGUCCGUUGAUACUUGGAGAUAUCAUUCUCCCGACAUCCCCUGGAUAGUACCAUCAAUUGCUGAGAAUGGGAGAGCACCAGCAAGAAGAAGAAGAAAUUCAAAUUUAAAUACUAAUGUAAUGAAUCAAACUUUUGUCAUAAAGAUGGUGAUGGACCGUCCAAAUAGUUGGAAUUGCAAAGUUCGGAUCAUCUGAUGAAGUUUGCCUGCCAAAAUAAUCAAGUUCCUGGGUGGGCGAUGAUGAUGAUGAUAUUAUAUUAUCGUAUGAUUUUUCCAUUAAUAAAUUUUUCAUUACCGUUAUUCAAGUUUUGAAUUAUAUAGAAUUACUGAAUAUUUAUUUA
This 823-nucleotide long non-coding RNA is filed under the name Olea europaea subsp. europaea. Lineage: Eukaryota; Viridiplantae; Streptophyta; Magnoliopsida; Lamiales; Oleaceae. The record is from RNAcentral.